CCAGUCUACAAUUGCAGAACAAUUAUCGAUUGAUACAUCGGAUAAAAUUGUAGAAAUAAAAUACAUUGUGAAUGAUAAUUGUCCUCCGUUGCAGAUUAUUGUCCUCCGUUGCACAUCGGAUAUAUUCUUGUUUGGUGCAAGAAAAAAAACAAAAAAAAAGUAGCUGUUGCAGUGCUUCCAGUGUGUUUUUAAAAUGUAGUCAAAUGUGGGUAAAUGUAGUUAACGUUUAU
This 230-nucleotide long non-coding RNA is filed under the name Nicotiana benthamiana. RNAcentral describes it as "long non-coding RNA (NBEN_LNC018915)". The record is from RNAcentral. Lineage: Eukaryota; Viridiplantae; Streptophyta; Magnoliopsida; Solanales; Solanaceae.